UUCGUAGGCGGUGCGGCAAGUCGGGAGUGAAAUCUCUGGGCUUAACCCAGAGGCUGCUUCCGAAACUGCCGUGCUAGAGUGCGGGAGAGGCGAGUGGAAUUGCAGGUGUAGCGGUGAAAUGCGUAGAUAUCUGCAGGAACACCCGUGGCGAAGGCGGCUCGCUGGACCGCAACUGACGCUGAGGAAGAAAGCUAGGGGAGCAAACA
RNAcentral lists this ribosomal RNA (206 nucleotides) under uncultured bacterium. RNAcentral describes it as "partial 16S ribosomal RNA". It matches the Rfam family "Bacterial small subunit ribosomal RNA", at positions 568 to 774 of the family's 1533-position model. The record is from RNAcentral.